Molecule: long non-coding RNA, 572 nt
Organism: Aphidius gifuensis
Lineage: Eukaryota; Metazoa; Arthropoda; Insecta; Hymenoptera; Braconidae
Exons: 3
Source: RefSeq, a predicted model, not a curated record
GAGAAUAAUCUCAAUAAUUUUAAGAAAUGAAUAAUUUGUUAAUUUUUAAAUUAAUUUUUAAAAAUAUUUGUCAGUGUGAAAGAGUGAAUGAUUCAAACUUGAUGUCAUUUCCUUAGCUCUAUUAUUUUGAUUUUACCCACCCACCAUCAUCAUGUUGGUUUUAAAAAAUAAAAUUAACAAAAUCAAGAAGAGAUGAAGAAGAUCCACACAUUAGACAACAAAAUUUUUAAGCAACCAAACAUUUUGUGAGGGGAAAAAGCUUGAAAAAAAAAAGAGAAGAGUAACUCAAGAGAUGUCAACGCCAACUUGACGAACAAUCAUUUAAUUUAAUUAAUUGUGUUAAUACUCUAACAAUGUAUUUUUCAGAAUAUGUGAUCCAAUAACACAAAUGAAACAUCAGACAAUACAACACACACUGCAUUAUUAUAAACCGGAUGACAUGAAUUUUUCAUACUUAUUUAUCAAUUUUACAAACAUUGAAGUUUGGAGCAGUUUAGAGAGAUGAUCAGAGAUGAUGGGUGGAAAUAAAAUAGAAAAAAAAAAAAAAAAUGAGAGAAAAAGAGAGCGAGGGG